GUCACUGCCAGGGUACGUCUUAUGAUUGAGCCCUGGUAGGUAGACACAGUACAGCUCACACACUCACACACACACGGCAGCGGAGACAGACAGCUGGGUGGUGGAAGACUUUCUUCCCUCAUUAAGAAGAAAAAACUCUUUUUUUGACCGACAAAUAUCAGCGGAUUUGUCUUGGGCUGCACUGUUUGUUGUUGGAAACGACUUCAGCCUACACAGUGACGCGUGAGAAAGAAAGACUGCAAAAACAGCCGAGCAUCUGCUAAUCCUCGAUUACAACGGGAGCCAUGGUGGCAGCAGUCCUUAAGUUGUAUUUUAUUGGAACUGCGCUGAGCGUCCUUGCGGUCAUUUUUGGAAUAGUGGACUCCUUUGGCGGAUUAAUGUACACCCAGGACCAUCACUACAUUUUGGACUUGGACCAACAGACACAGAGGCAGCUGUCCUCGAGCAACCACCGGAGAGGAUCGACUGUGACUAAAAACAUUGGCUCAUGAGGGGAAACAUCUGGCACGAUUUACACAAAAUGGCAGCAAUGGAUCAAGACAGUGAGACUACUGUACGUUUAUAAUCACUGGGGAUAACAAUUAUCCCGGAUUCUUCCAUCGCUAAAUAUGGACAUAAAUGUCAUGUCUGACUUGCUAUGCGUUUUGCAUUAGACAUGAUAUGGAUAAAUAAUCCCACAGCAUGGGUUUGUGUUUGCUCUACUCUGUAUGCUUUCAAACAAUGCAGCAGCUAGGAUGUGUUAAAGUGACUCCAAAUUGGAAGAGAAUUGUAACAUCACUACUGAACAAUGAUUUGCACUAAAAUGUGAAUGUUUUCUCUU
Molecule: long non-coding RNA, 820 nt
Organism: Etheostoma spectabile (orangethroat darter)
Lineage: Eukaryota; Metazoa; Chordata; Actinopteri; Perciformes; Percidae
Exons: 2
Source: RefSeq, a predicted model, not a curated record